GACGAACGCUGGCGGCGUGGAUUAGGCAUGCAAGUCGAACGGUAGGGUCCUUUCGGGGAUCUGAGAGUGGCGAACGGGUGAGUAACACGUAGGUGAUCUACCCUCAAGACGGGGACAACCCAGGGAAACUUGGGCUAAUACCGGAUGUGAGCUAUCGCGAGAUAGUUUGAAAGGUGGCUUCGGCUGCCGCUUGAGGAUGAGCCUGCGUCCUAUUAGCUAGUUGGUGAGGUAACGGCUCACCGAGGCAGUGAUAGGUAGGCGGCCUUAACGGGUGGUCGCCCACACUGGGAUUGAGAUACGGCCCAGACUCCUACGGGAGGCAGCAGUCGAGAAUAGUCUACAAUGGUCGAAAGACUGAUAGUGCGACGCCGCGUGAACGAAGAAGCCCUUCGGGUGUAAAGUUCUUUUAUAUGUGAGCAGUGACACCCAUAUUAAUAGUAUGGGUGUAGAGAUAUUAGCAUAUGAAUAAGCAACGGCUAACUCCGUGCCAGCAGCCG
Molecule: ribosomal RNA, 497 nt
Filed under: uncultured bacterium
Lineage: Bacteria
Description: bacterial SSU rRNA
Rfam family: Bacterial small subunit ribosomal RNA
Source: RNAcentral